AAUCAACGCUGGCGGCGUGCCUCAGACAUGCAAGUCGAACGAUUAAAGCUCUCUUCGGAGAGUGUAUAGAGUGGCGCACGGGUGAGUAACACGUAAGUAAUCUACCUUUGAGUGGGGAAUAACAGUCGGAACGACUGCUAAUACCGCAUAAUGCAGCGGCAUCGCAAGAUGACAGUUGUUAAAGGAGCAAUCCGCUUAAAGAGGAGCUUGCGGCAGAUUAGCUAGUUGGUAAGGUAAUGGCUUACCAAGGCUACGAUCUGUAUCCGGUCUAAGAGGACGGUCGGACACACUGACACUGAAUAACGGGUCAGACUCCUACGGGAGGCAGCAGUCGGGAAUUUU
This 342-nucleotide ribosomal RNA is filed under the name uncultured bacterium. RNAcentral's name for it is "bacterial SSU rRNA". It matches the Rfam family "Bacterial small subunit ribosomal RNA", at positions 32 to 365 of the family's 1533-position model. The record is from RNAcentral.